This 162-nucleotide ribosomal RNA is filed under the name Ephedra major. RNAcentral describes it as "5.8S ribosomal RNA". It matches the Rfam family "5.8S ribosomal RNA". From Rfam's summary of the family: 5.8S ribosomal RNA (5.8S rRNA) is a component of the large subunit of the eukaryotic ribosome. It is transcribed by RNA polymerase I as part of the 45S precursor that also contains 18S and 28S rRNA. The record is from RNAcentral. Lineage: Eukaryota; Viridiplantae; Streptophyta; Gnetopsida; Ephedrales; Ephedraceae.
CGACUCUCNGNAAUGGAUAUNUNGGCUCUCGCAUCGAUGAAGAACGUAGCGAAAUGCGAUACUUAGUGUGAAUUGCAGAAUCCCGUGAAUCAUCGAGUCUUUGAACGCAAGUUGCGCCCGAAGCCUCGGCCAAGGGCACGUCUGCCUGGGCGUCGCAAACCA